RNAcentral lists this ribosomal RNA (492 nucleotides) under uncultured bacterium. RNAcentral's name for it is "partial 16S ribosomal RNA". It matches the Rfam family "Bacterial small subunit ribosomal RNA", at positions 29 to 507 of the family's 1533-position model. The record is from RNAcentral.
AGUGAACGCUGGCGGUAGGCCUAACACAUGCAAGUCGAACGGCAGCACAGUAAGAGCUUGCUCUUACGGGUGGCGAGUGGCGGACGGGUGAGGAAUACAUCGGAAUCUACUUUUUCGUGGGGGAUAACGUAGGGAAACUUACGCUAAUACCGCAUACGACCUACGGGUGAAAGCAGGGGAUCUUCUGACCUUGCGCGAUUGAAUGAGCCGAUGUCGGAUUAGCUAGUUGGCGGGGUAAAGGCCCACCAAGGCGACGAUCCGUAGCUGGUCUGAGAGGAUGAUCAGCCACACUGGAACUGAGACACGGUCCAGACUCCUACGGGAGGCAGCAGUGGGGAAUAUUGGACAAUGGGCGCAAGCCUGAUCCAGCCAUACCGCGUGGGUGAAGAAGGCCUUCGGGUUGUAAAGCCCUUUUGUUGGGAAAGAAAAGCAGCAGGUUAAUACCCCGCUGUUCUGGCGGUACCCAAAGAAUAAGCACCGGCUAACUUCGUG